Long non-coding RNA from Megalobrama amblycephala (Wuchang bream), 1688 nucleotides. RefSeq lists it as uncharacterized. The transcript is spliced from 3 exons. The record is from RefSeq and is a predicted model, not a curated record. Lineage: Eukaryota; Metazoa; Chordata; Actinopteri; Cypriniformes; Xenocyprididae.
UCUCUCUCUCGGUUCAAGACAACCUUGCCGAUACAUGCCUAGAGACGUUCAUGCCAUUCAAGUCAUCCAGUACAGAUGCAACUGAACCCAGUGACUCCUUUAGGAAAUAGUGAAUCAGACAACAGCAGAGUUUCACUUCACUCACCCAUGUUGACAAAUCCAAUGUCCACGUAUAUCUUGGCACAGAGGGACCCCAGCAGGUAGCCAAACACUGGACCGAUGACUGAUAUUGUCUGGACACAUCCUGAUGCAGAUGGAUUAAACUGUAUAAACCGCCCUCAUAUAUGCGUACCAAUGUAGAAGGCUGCAUUUUCCUCCAAAGCGUGAUCGUCGAUGUAUGAGAUUCCUAGAGGUUGCACUGGGGUCUCGCCAAUUCCACGCAAGAUAUUCCCCAGGAAAACAUAGAUCCACAUGGACAACCUGGACUCGUGUUCGCAACCUGAGAAAGGGGGAAGAGAGGGUGAGAAGGCUUCUGCAAAUGAAGCAGUCGGUGCUUAUGUACCUGAGCUGGGUACUGAAGAAGUGCUUGGACCUGUGGACAGAACGCUAGCAGACCUCACUGGACACGGGGAGAGGUUGCUGGUUGAGUUCACUGACGAUCGAAUCGAUGUUUCAAACUUGUAGCUGCAUACAAAACAUCAACAAUUCAGCAAAAUUCAGAGACCAUGUCACCUGACACAACAAUAUGAUCCAGAUUAAUGAAACUUCCAAGUUUAACCGGUUCUACUGACCCGCUCCGAGCGGGACUUGAACCGUGGUCUCCGGUGUGAGAGUCGGGCGCUCUAACAAGGACCGCAGGAUCUAGUGUCAGUUGCUAGAGUGCCUCUUGUGAGGUUUACACAUACAGUUCUUAUAUGCCUACGACAGUUACGCUCGCCCCCCUAAACCUCACUCACAUCCGGCACCAAAUGUAACCGGUUCUACUGACCCGCUCCGAGCGGGACUUGAACCAUGGUCUCCGGUGUGGGAGUCAGGCGCUCUAACAAGGACCGCAGGAUCUAGUGUCAGUUGCUAGAAUGCCUCUUGUGAGGUUUACACGCACAAUUCUUACUGGCCUACGACAGUUACACUCACCCCCCUAAACCUCACUCACAUCCGGGUCACGGCACCAAAUGUAAACGGUUCUACUGACCCGCUCUGAGCGGGACUUGAACCAUGGUCUCCGGUGUGGGAGUCAGGCGCUCUAACAAGGACCGCAGGAUCUAGUGUCAGUUGCUAGAAUGCCUCUUGUGAGGUUUACACGCACAAUUCUUACUGGCCUACGACAGUUACACUCACCCCCCUAAACCUCACUCACAUCCGGGUCACGGCACCAAAUGUAAACGGUUCUACUGACCCGCUCCGAGCGGGACUUGAACCAUGGUCUCCGGUGUGGGAGUCAGGCGCUCUAACAAGGACCGCAGGAUCUAGUGCCAGUUGCUAGAAUGCCUCUUGUGAGGUUUACACGCACAAUUCUUACUGGCCUACGACAGUUACACUCACCCCCCUAAACCUCACUCACAUCCGGGUCACGGCACCAAAUGUAACCGGUUCUACUGACCCGCUCCGAGCAGGACUUGAACCGUGGUCUCCGGUGUGGGAGUCAGGCGCUCUAACAAGGAACCUAAAUGUUCAGAAUGAUUUUUUUUGUCAACUUUAAAUGGUAACACUUUAUUGAGAUGGUCUUCUUUUGACAUUCUACUAACUGU